Molecule: long non-coding RNA, 250 nt
Filed under: Manihot esculenta (cassava)
Lineage: Eukaryota; Viridiplantae; Streptophyta; Magnoliopsida; Malpighiales; Euphorbiaceae
Description: long non-coding RNA (MESC_LNC003088)
Source: RNAcentral
AUGAAUCAAGUAUAAUAAUAAAUAUAUGAUAAAAAACUAUAUUAUUCUUCAUCUAAAACUUUUUUUUCUUUGGAAUUUAGUUCCUUUUCUUUCGAGAAUUGUCGGUGUUCAUGCCUCUUGGAGGCUUCCCUUCAUCCUCCAGGCGGUCGUGAGUCUCCUCCUACCAUGUGGGUUUUUCCUUCCCACAAUUGAGUGGAAAGUAAAUAGUUCUUUUUGGUGGUUGGCAAUGGAAUGAGAGUUUCUUUUGGGC